This 76-nucleotide transfer RNA is filed under the name Enterobacter kobei. RNAcentral's name for it is "tRNA-Thr". Lineage: Bacteria; Pseudomonadati; Pseudomonadota; Gammaproteobacteria; Enterobacterales; Enterobacteriaceae. The record is from RNAcentral.
AAUGAGAUGGCUAAGUUGGUAGAGCUCACCCUUUGUAAGGGAGAGGUCCCCAGUACGACUAAGGGUAUCAGCACCA